This 471-nucleotide ribosomal RNA is filed under the name uncultured bacterium. Its description in RNAcentral is "bacterial SSU rRNA". It matches the Rfam family "Bacterial small subunit ribosomal RNA", at positions 40 to 518 of the family's 1533-position model. The record is from RNAcentral.
CGGCGCACAUAAGACAUGCAAGUCGAACGGACUUAACUCAUCUUUUAGAUUGAGAGCGGUUAGUGGCGGACUGGUGAGUAACACGUAAGCAACCUGCCUAUUAGAGGGGAAUAACAACGAGAAAUCGUUGCUAAUACCGCAUAAGCUGAUAGUAUCGCAUGAUACAGUCAGAAAAGGAGCAAUCCGCUAAUAGAUGGGCUUGCGUCUGAUUAGCUAGUUGGUGGGGUAACGGCCUACCAAGGCGACGAUCAGUAGCCGAGCUGAGAGGCUCUACGGCCACAUUGGGACUGAGAUACGGCCCAGACUCCUACGGGAGGCAGCAGUCGGGAAUAUUGCGCAAUGGAGGAAACUCUGACGCAAGUGACGCCGCGUAUAGGAUGAAGGUUUUCGGAUUGUAAACUAUUGUCGUUAGGGAAGAGAUUUGACAGUACCUAAGGAGGAAGCUCCGGCUAACUAUGUGCCAGCAGCAGC